RNAcentral lists this unclassified non-coding RNA (359 nucleotides) under uncultured bacterium. RNAcentral's name for it is "contains 16S-23S intergenic spacer region". The record is from RNAcentral.
UCCGUCUUGCGACGGCAGUUUUGCCAGAGUGAUACAACUGGCAAUAGGGGUUGCGCUCGUUAACCCACUUAAGGGUACGCCUCACGGUACGAACUGACGACAGCCAUGCAACACCUGUGUAAGCUCCAACUUGCGUUGGUCGUAAGCCUUUCAGCUUCCUACUACCUACAUGUCAAACCCUGGUAAGGUUCUUGGGUUAUCAGCCAAUUAAAGAGCAUGCUCCACCGCUUGUGCGGGUCCCCGCCAAUUCCUUUGAGUUUUAGCCUUGCGGCCGUACUACCCAGGCGGUCCGCUUAACGCGUUAGCUUCGACACCAACUAAUGCUGGCAUCUAGCGGACAUUGUUUACAGCGUGGACUA